This 419-nucleotide ribosomal RNA is filed under the name bacterium 28S535. RNAcentral's name for it is "bacterial SSU rRNA". It matches the Rfam family "Bacterial small subunit ribosomal RNA", at positions 1043 to 1464 of the family's 1533-position model. The record is from RNAcentral.
UCAUGGCCCCUCCAGCUCGUGUUGUGAAAUGUUGGGUUAAGUCCCGCAACGAGCGCAACCCUUAUCCUUUGUUGCCAGCGGUUCGGCCGGGAACUCAAAGGAGACUGCCAGUGAUAAACUGGAGGAAGGUGGGGAUGACGUCAAGUCAUCAUGGCCCUUACGAGUAGGGCUACACACGUGCUACAAUGGCGUAUACAAAGAGAAGCGACCUCGCGAGAGCAAGCGGACCUCAUAAAGUACGUCGUAGUCCGGAUUGGAGUCUGCAACUCGACUCCAUGAAGUCGGAAUCGCUAGUAAUCGUAGAUCAGAAUGCUACGGUGAAUACGUUCCCGGGCCUUGUACACACCGCCCGUCACACCAUGGGAGUGGGUUGCAAAAGAAGUAGGUAGCUUAACCUUCGGGAGGGCGCCACCACUUCA